GGUUUGUGGCUCAGUGGUAGAGUGCUUGCCUGACAUGUAUGAGUCCCUGGGUUCGAUCCUCAGCACCA
RNAcentral lists this transfer RNA (68 nucleotides) under Marmota monax (woodchuck). Its description in RNAcentral is "tRNA.Val". The stretch from base 5 to 65 matches the Rfam family "tRNA", at positions 6 to 65 of the family's 71-position model. From Rfam's summary of the family: Transfer RNA (tRNA) molecules are approximately 80 nucleotides in length. The record is from RNAcentral. Lineage: Eukaryota; Metazoa; Chordata; Mammalia; Rodentia; Sciuridae.